Long non-coding RNA from Hemibagrus wyckioides, 612 nucleotides. RefSeq lists it as uncharacterized. The transcript is spliced from 4 exons. Lineage: Eukaryota; Metazoa; Chordata; Actinopteri; Siluriformes; Bagridae. The record is from RefSeq and is a predicted model, not a curated record.
GAGUGUCAGAGUCUUCGUACGGGUCGUUCUCAAAGACGGAUGGCUGUUCAACGGGACAUGGAUGGAGACCCGUAUUAUCCUGCAUGCCAGCUGAAUUAUUAGAAGAGCCAAAACCCUGCGCCCUAAUCAGACGCAAUUAACCCGGAUUUAGCUUGCAUGAAACAAAAUAAUGCCUCAUCAAAUGGAUAUCUGCAAUGGUAACUGGGCUGUCGUGAGAAAAUCUAAAACCAAAGCACUCGUACCAAAUAUUGAACUCAUGAGUCUAUGGACUGAGGAAGGAAACUGGAGUACCCAGAGGAAACCCCCAAAGUACGAAAAGGAAAAAGGAGGAAAUCAACCCCUCAACUCCUGAGAUCGAUAUGAAUGAUCAAGUGAAGCUGUACCGGUCCGCUGUUUGAAGCAGAUCAAUCGGCCCGUGUGAUUUGGCACAGGUUUUACACCGGAUGCCCUUCCUGUCACAACCCUCCCAUUUUUAUCCAGGCUUGGGACUGGCACUGAGAGUCAACUCUUCAGCGGCUAGGGUGACGCCCUGCCCAGGAAUUGGACCCGGGCCGCGGCAAUGAGAGCGCGGGAGCCUGCCGCUGGACCACCAGGAGGCCUAUAUUGUCAUAC